UAUGGCAUGACCACUCUCAUGCAUGCGGCUUAUAAGGGCAAAGCAGACCUGUGCAGACUGUAGCUGCAGCACGGAGCUGAUGUCAACUGUAAUGAGCAUGAGUAUGGUUAUACUGGGCUCAUGUUCACUGGCCUCUCAGCUUUCUCGGUUCUGACCCCGGCAUUGACGGGCCAGAUGGUGCCUAUGGACAUAGUACUGUGCUACAUGUGGAGAGAGGGGUGCUGACAAGAAGUGCUCCUUCUGUAAAAUGGUAUAAUGUGCUUCCUCUUUCCUUAAAUAAUCAUGACUUGCCGUCAACAUUUAUUCAGUUAAUAUUGACAUUUUUUAUCAUUUUGAAGCCAAACUUAUAUUUUUCUACAGUUAAUCACGCAUACUGACCAUCUACAAAGUAUACUAAUGAUUUUAAGUUGCUAUUUAGUAUUUGGUUUCUCUUCAGGCACGUAACUUUCCACAUCCUGUACCUACAGCAUUUGAAUUAAGAAGCCCAGAUCAUUGACAAUUUGGCUAAACCAACCUAAUCCAAUUUUUCUUUUGAUGUUAGAAAUGCAAUACAAUUAAAAUUAAAAGAUAUCUGUAGCUUCAAAAGUGAAUUUAAAAUGCACUGGUGAGUUACAUUAUAUGAGAUCAUGAUUUUAUAUUGUGAAGUAAGACCUUUUCUCAUUAUAUUGGAGUUUUACAUGUUGCUGAAACACUGUUUUCCCAUAAUGCUCUCCUCUCUUUCCAGGUGGUCUACUGUGGGAAGACGUUACAGAGGCUGCACUGGUUCACCCAUAAGAGGCAGUGCAAAAACCCCUGUGCCACAGAGAGAUGCUCAACUCAACCGCCAACCCAAACAGAGGGAACUCUCUAGCAAUGCUGAUGACAGUGAUGUAGUGAACGCCGCCGGCUCCAUGCUGGCUCUUUGUCUGGGGUUGUCAAGAGUGUGCACUUCAGCACAGUCCUUCUGAUGACUACUGUGAAACCUCCGAGGACUGUGAAGAUCCUCCUCAUGCUGGAAAGGAUUGAGAAACAGAAAUGUUUUGGUUGUUUUUUUUCUUUGUACAGUUGAAUUCCCCUGGGAAUACAGUUCAGCCUCAGCGUGCUGUGCUGUGAUUGGUGCUCUGCAUUUUAUAGGAAACUGUAAACCAUGAUACAGAAGUGUUGGAUUGUAUACUUAUUCUAAGCUGUGUAAGAACCACACAGAAAACUGGAUAUGUAGAGAACAUGACAAACUUCUGACCAGUGGACAUCCUAUUUUGACUGUGGGCAACUGUUGACAUAGAGAAAAACUUUGAGAUUUUUUCUCUUCCACUUAAAAGGAAUCAUUUACCCCAAAAAUUCUAAUUUCCUGAAAAUGUACUCACUCUCAGGCCAUCUGUGAUGUAGAUUUUUUUUCUUCAUGUGGACCAAUUUAAAGAAAUGUAGCAUUACAUCAAUUGCUCACCAGUGGAUCAUCUACAGUGAAUGGGUGCCGUCCCAAAAGAGUCCAAAGAGCUAAAGGCAGAAUUUCAUAUUUUUGCCUGGGGGGAGGUACGUGCUGGCAGACCACAUUUACAUACCAUAUAUACCAUUUUCUCCACUCUUUUAGGUUAUGGGUUUAUUAAAAAAACAACGAACAUCCAUUUUGUCCAUUUUGCAUUUCUCUGCAGACUAAAGCGGGAACACAACGAGAAGAGAGUCCACUCACGCAAUACUCUGAGAUUUGCAAAGUCACGAGAGAAUAGAUCUUAUGUUUAAAAACAUCGGUUAAAAAUAAUUUAGCCCAAACGUACUCAUUCUGCUCACUAAAAUAAAGUAAUAAACGAAUAAAAUGUUUACUCAUAUUUUUUAAUUCACUGAAUACUGAAAUUUCUUUUUUAUUUGUAUCUUUCAUUCAGCUGGCUCUGGUCAAAAAAAAUCACAAAAUAGCUGAUGAAACAAUCCACAAAUAAUCCACAACUCCAGUCCAUCAAUUCAAUCCAUUUUGUGAAGUGAGAAGAUAUGUUUGUAAGAACUCCAAUGACUGUUUCAGUGAAAAAGUCAUCUCAUCUGAAUCAGGAGAGACAUAAGUAAUGAUCAAGCACCGUUUUCAAGGGAAAACUAAACUAAAAUAGUACUAAACAAAUACAUUGGUGGAUUUUUAUGUGAAAGGACAAAAGGGGAUGAACUUUUUUUCUAUAAUCCAUUACUAUGGAUUAUAGACUGUUAAAAUAUCAUAAUGAUAGAUUUGUUUCUUACAAACACAAAGCCUUUUGCUUCACAGGUCAUUUACUGAUGGACUGGAAUCAUGCAGAGUACUUGUGAUGUUUUUAUCAGCAGUUUGAAAUCUCAUUCCAACGGCACCCAUUCACUGCAGAGGAUCCACUGAUGAGCAAAUUAUGUAGUGCUAAAUUUAUCCAGAUCUGUUUCAAUGAAGAACGAAUUUCAUCUACAUCUUGGAUGACCAGAAGCUGAGUAAAUAUUCAGCAAAUUUUCAUUUUGGGGUAAACCAUUCCUUUAAGUGUUUUUGAGAUUUUCACCCCCUAUUUUUGCUUGUUUCAUAACAUCAGAUUUUUAAAUUCUGCUUCCUAUUUCCAAUAUAAUUUGCUUUUCAAGUAGAUCCUCUAAAAUAGCUCAUACCGAAGGCUCAUUUUUAUCUAAACUGAUCAAAUAAAGAAAUAUAGCCUUGUAAUGCAUAUAUUUUAAUUCAAUAGUUUUCCACUAGAGGGCAGCGUCCAUCCUCUGAAGGUCAAGUGUGAGCUCAAUAUUAUCAUCCGCAGGCUGUAAACUAUUUACUUCUUAGAAUGUAUUACAAACAUACUUCAUUUAGUAGAAUCACUGUGUUUAUAACAACAUAAACAUCUUCCAGGUAAAAAAAAUAAAUAAAUAAAUAAAAAGAUUUCAAUAAUGAUCAACUAAUGAAACAAAAAUAAAACAUUUUUUUAAUAAAUUUGCAUCAUAAUCAUAAUCAGAAUAUACUAUUAACAUAUUCUCAAAAUAUGUUAGAAAAAUGUCCAGUUUAAUCUGCAGUGUCGUAACUGCAGUACACGAUGAGUUUUGAGAGAGCAGGGAUCUCCUCCGUGGACUUUCCCACACUUGGUCCUGUUGCACACAUCCUAAGGCACUCGCUCAGAAUUCUAUAGACGGCUCUGUCUGUUCCUUAACGCUUUGUUCCCAGUCUCCACAUCCCCUCAUCUCAGGGGACUAUCUCACCCUGUAGGCCAAACGAGGGUCUAUUUAACACACAGUUGUCACGUCGCAUGUCAGUAUACCCAUAACUCAGUGCCGUAACCUCUCUGUUUGCCCUGAGAUUCAUCCCUGUCCUGUCUCCAUCUAUGAGCAUGUCACGGUCAUUACAGGUGCAUGAAAGAACUAUCUCAAAUAUCCGGUUUUUGAGAUGCAGAAAUUAGCGAAUGCCGCAUCGUAUCGCAUGACUUUGAUAUUCCUCUUUCAAGCCCUGAGGUUGCAUAUUCAGUGAUCCCAAUACCCCCCCCCCCCGCCCCCCUUACCAAUAUGACUAACAGUGCUUUUUAGGUAAUAAGAGAUCAUUUUGACAGCAGUGGCUUUUGAAAUAUAGGGCCUAUAUAUUUUUUCUUAAAAAAAAAAAAAAAAAAAAAAAAAAGCACAAUAUUAAAGUGUUUUUUCGUCCGAAUCAAAGAAGUGUAGCUGGGGGCCAAGCGGAAUGAAUUUAUCGUAAAUGCCUGAAGAGAGAGUGAAACUAGACACUUUUUGAGGGACACGUUUUCGGUGGAAGAAAGCGAGCAUUGGGCUUUUGUGUUUCCUCCAUGUCGUUUGUGUUAUGCACAUUCAUUUGGUGAGCUCAUCGGAGGCACCUGUUUGGAUAAUUUUGGGGUAAAAUAAUUCAGGGCUAUCCUGUUUCAUGGGUUUUGUCAUGCAUGCCGUACUUUACAGCCCUCACUAGAGGUCAAUGCACCAGGUUCACAUGUAGAGGAUCUAAAUACGCUUGAAAACUUGUUUACAUCUGAGAGCGCAACAUCCUCAGCACAGCGUCUCUCUGAUUGAGAGUGUUGCACUGCAGUGUUCGCUUACAUGUAUCAACUGAGCUACGCAAUAGAUGUUUUCUACUUUUCUAAAACCAGCACUACAAUAACAAUACAAUAUGAGUUGUGAUAUAUAUAUAUAUAUAUAUAUAUAUAUAUAUAUAUAUAUAUAUAUAUAUAUAUGUGUGUGUGUGUGUGUGUGUGUGUGUGUGUGUGUGUGUGUGUGUGUGUGUGUGUGUGUGUGUGUGAUAUGAAGUCUAUGUAAUAAUAAUAAUAAUAACAAUAAUAGUAACUACUGUCAUUAUUAUUUUUACUUCAUAUAAAAUGUAAUAUGAUUAUGUUAGAAUGAAAGUAAGAUUUAAAAGUCCAUCAGACUGAACAGAAUCAGAGUAAAUUAAAAAAAUAAAAAACUUAUUUUUCACAGAAAGGGCGUUUUGGUAUCUGCUGUUUCUUCUUUUAGUGUUGCUGUUUUAGACCAAAUGUAUUUUUAUAACGUAUUUUUAUUGUAUUUUGUAAUCAUAAAUAUAACAGUUAAUCAACAUAAUCGUCUGGAUACAAUAUUUCUAAUGGUUUUUUUGUUUGUUUGUUUGUUUGUUU
This 4535-nucleotide long non-coding RNA is filed under the name Carassius auratus (goldfish). RNAcentral describes it as "lncRNA (ENSCARG00000056831.1)". Lineage: Eukaryota; Metazoa; Chordata; Actinopteri; Cypriniformes; Cyprinidae. The record is from RNAcentral.